GCGCUUGCAUCAGCAGCGCAUAUACUAAAAUGGGAACAAUACAGGGGAGAUUAGCAUGGCCCCUGCGCAAGGAUAAAUUCACGUAUUAAAAGAAAAUGAUCCUGGGAUC
Small nuclear RNA from Tupaia belangeri (northern tree shrew), 109 nucleotides. The record is from Ensembl. Lineage: Eukaryota; Metazoa; Chordata; Mammalia; Scandentia; Tupaiidae.